RNAcentral lists this ribosomal RNA (427 nucleotides) under Semicassis pyrum. RNAcentral describes it as "partial 28S ribosomal RNA". Lineage: Eukaryota; Metazoa; Mollusca; Gastropoda; Littorinimorpha; Cassidae. The record is from RNAcentral.
AAACCGCCUAGAGGUAAACGGGUGGAUCCGCAAAGUCGGCCCGCGGAAUUCAGCUCGGAAGGUUCGCAGCGCCUGCAGUCCGGGUCGGAGAUCUUGAAUUGGACUCUCCCGGCGCAGGACGCGGCCCGACCGUGUGCACUUUCCGCGGGCAGAGCGCCACGACCGGUUCUCGGGCGGUCAGAAGGCGGUGGGGAUGGUAGGUGCGCGCUUCGGCGGGCACUGGUAUAGCCCCACCUGUCCCGAUCCGCUCGGGGACCGAGGAGCCGCCGCCGGCAGUAAGGCCGCCUCACCCUCCUGGGAUGUUUCGACUGGCAGAGACUGGGCAACCGUGUCUGCCGACCGCUUCCUUGGACGGUUCUUAAGGGGUGGGCCCGCCGGCACAGGGUCGGUGGCGAAUCGGUCGGCCCUCCACCCGACCCGUCUUGAA